Molecule: long non-coding RNA, 3137 nt
Filed under: Olea europaea (common olive)
Lineage: Eukaryota; Viridiplantae; Streptophyta; Magnoliopsida; Lamiales; Oleaceae
Description: long non-coding RNA (OEUR_LNC009053)
Source: RNAcentral
CUUCUGGAGAAUUGUGGCUGAGGUUAACAUAUACAUGUACACAGCAAAGGCAAAAACAUAGGGUGGAAAAUUGGAUUCCAAAAGAAGUGGCGGCUGAAAAUUGAUGCAGAAUACAAACACAUAUAAAGGCAGAAACGGAUCGGCAGAAAGCAGAUGGAAAAACGUUAGCAAUUGGGAAUCAUUUCAGAUCUUUUGUGCGAUAAUCAAUUGAAGAUUUGUGCAAGGAAUUCCAAAAUUAAUCACAUUUCACCAAUUUCUCGGUAAUGUCGUUUAAAAAUUACUUGUUUAAUUUUGAUAUUAUGCUAGACUAAAUAAUUUUAAUGCCAAGAUUAUGAUGAAACUUAUAUCAUGAGCCUUUGAUCUUUAAAUCUUAUUUUUGACAUUCAAAGCACGUUUUUAAUUCUUGAAUGAUUGACAUGGAUUUAAUUUUCUCUACAAUUAUAUGUGCAAUAGUUGUAUGAAUUUUGUGGCUUGUUUUACCUUCUAAAUAUUGAAGAUAAUUUAGACAAAGUGUCAAUUAUCUUAAAGUCCGAUAGGGAAUAUAAAUAUACUAUUAUGCUUUACAUGAUUUUUAAGUAUUCAUAUUUUUUUUUUAUAUGUUUGCAUGAGCCAUAAAAAUAUAGUCUUCUACUAGAAAGAAAUUGUUAAACAAAUUAGAAAUAUUGAUCUUUAUAAUUGAAUCGUAUUAUCAAAUUCAUAAGAUUCAAAGUUAAAGGGGACUGAGAUAAAGGGAGUCGGGACCUUAGCACGCUUUGCAUCAUCAUAUUUUUAUAAAACAUGCAUUUAAUUAUAACUUUGCAUUGCUUUUAGUUAACUUGGAUCUUGUAUUCAUAAAUUGAUUAUUUAAUUUAUAUGAAAAAUCACACUUUCAAUUGUUUCGAUUAAAGUCGAGUUAAUUUGAACUUAAGCUAGUACAAUUUCUGUGGGUACGAUACUUGGACUCAAAAUUCAUUUUACUACUUGUUAACUAACAGUGCACUUGCGGUAUUAUUUUUGUGAUAUUUACCAUCGAUAUCUUACCAAUUUCACCGUACACGUUUACCACCACCACCCUCUUGUAAACCUAAAAUCAGAUUGUUUUCCAAUCCCAAAUUACCACUGCUUCACAUUGUGCUCCACUAGUGCCGACAAACCAUUCUACCACCAUCACUUCGCAUACAACAACUUAUAUAAAAUCCACUCAUCAUAGAUUUUGCAAAAUUGCACUAUGAACCACAAUCAUCGCAAAUAUUUCUGCCCCAUGCUUCACACCAAACACUCAUUCCCAAUCAAUGUAACACGAACCUCUCUUCGAUGCAUUCGUCUACGCCACCACCAUUAUUCUCUUACCCUCUCCUUUUUAAUUUCUUAUGUUUCGCGCCGGUAGUCGCUAACAAUUAAAAAGGGAUCAGACGAUUGUGUAAGGAACAAACCUCUUGAGACAAAGUUCCAAAAAGGGGUGUUUUAUUGGCGAUGACUUUACAAUUGGAACUUAAACAGAAUGCCUCCAAGGGGCCAAGCACACGAGUACUGAAAAGAAAUGUUUAAGUCUAAACUAAGAAAUUGAAAUUACAUAUUCUCUGUUUGAGAGUGUUUGAUUCAGGUCCCUUUGCUCUAUGUCUUUUCUUCCUUUUAUAUUCCCUUGAUGAUCUCUUCGUGAUCAACCGCUUAGAAACUGCUUAAUUGCUUUAUAACUGCCCACUUUCUUCAUGGUGACCAACUUAUCGUGGAACUACCGUCUCUAACUGCUGCCACUACUCUUUGUCGUUCAACCGUCUUCAACUGAACAUCCUUGAAUCGUGGAACGUGAUAAGAUUACUUAAUAACUGCUUCGAUAACUGCACUUUUGAAUAACCAUAACAUCUUAUGUUUGCUAAGAUCCUGGGCGAUUCGAAGGUUUGGGCGAGAACAGGGUCAUAACCCUGGGCAACUGCAAGGCACUUCAUUCGCUCAGAUCUUGGGCAUCUUGCCAGUUUGGGCGAUGAUGUUACCGCAUUCGUGGGCUUCCACUGCAUUCAUUAGUAACCCUAUUUGGGCCUUUAUCCUGAAUUGCCCAGUUGGGCUUCAUUCUUUGAGCUAUUCGAUUUGGGCUGCACUUUUAGCAUGUCAACACCAUAGAACAAGUUUUUUCUUGUGCUGAAUUUAAGAAUAAGAUCUAAUUUUAAGAUUCAGACCAGUUUUGGUUUGAUUUUUAUUUUUGUAAGAGGUAGAUUAGGGUUCCCCCAUUCUUUUUGUAUGAAUGGUGGUGGUAGUGGAUCAAUCUAUUUCUUUCCUUUUUGGUUGGUUUGAUGAUGAAGAACUGAGACAAUGAUGAUGGUAGUGUAGUAAUAGAUUUACUAGUUAUGGUGGAGGUAGCAGCAAGCAGCGAAGGUAUAACAAAGAAUGUUAUAAAUUGUGAAGUUGGCGACGAUGACGUAACAAGUUGGAUUGGUGGUGGUGGUGAUAGUCUUAGUGACAACGGAAUAGGCGAUGAAAUGUGUGUAACUAUGUAACAAGUAAUGAUGACGACAACUGAAAAAAUAAUUGUGAAAUGUGCUAACAAAAUAUUACAUACUGUUUUACAAAUGUUAAUGUAAAAAUAAGUCUAUAAUUGGUAAACUCUUUAAAGGUAUUUGGUGAAUUGUUUAAAAAAUCAUAUAAAAACCAAAAACAAUAGCAUUUCCUCGACAAGAAGAAAAUCAUCAUAGAUAACUUUAGGGAAGAAUACAUAAUUCAGGCUUUAAUUAUACCCCAAUUCAAUUUUAAGAAAAAAGGCUUAAAAAUUCAAAAUUCAGGUGGCAAUUAAUGAAUAUUAUAUAUAAAAUAAUAUAUUAUAUAUCUAAUAAAUAUCCAUCAUAAUAUAUCGACCUACUUUAAUUUCUAUUAUUCCUAUAAUUAUCUUUAUCCCUAUCAUGUUCUCUCUUUGCCUUUUCUUUCUAACAGUGAUGCUCGUUGUCAAUACUGCUCAAUGAUGAGCUUCACUAUACUUGGCGAGGCGCGUCGAUGCUAAGUAUACAGUGACGCAGCCUCUGAAAGUGUCGCGUACCCAGGCGUUUAUCAUAAGCAAUGACGAGCACAACGUCAAGGCAAGCACCGUUGCACAGUUAGCAACCAAUUAUUCGUACAGUUAAAUGAUCUUGGAGGUUGUGAACUUGUUGGAGGUAGGGUAGACUAGGUGG